UGGGUGAGGUCCCGUGGACGAUUGUACCCUUUGGUUCAUUUACCUGACCUCGGAUCAGACGUGAUUACCCGCUGAACUUAAGCAUAUCACUAAGCGGAGGAGAAGAAACUAACAAGGAUUCCCUCAGUAAUGGCGAAUGAAGAGGGAAAAGCCCAGCACCGAAGCCUGUGGUCGUUUGAUCACUAGGCAAUGUGGUGUUUAGGUCGUUCCGCAGAGGUACUGCUCCAUCCUAAGUCCAGCAAUGAGUACGGCUUUAUGGACGUGGCCCACAGAGGGUGAAAGGCCCGUGGGGGUGGAGACUCGGUAGGCCAGUAUCUCUCUGGGUAGACCUUGGAGUCGGGUUGUUUGUGAAUGCAGCCCAAAGCGGGUGGUAAACUCCAUCCAAGGCUAAAUACAUACACGAGUCCGAUAGCGAACAAGUACCGUGAGGGAAAGUUGAAAAGUACUUUGAAGAGAGAGUAAACAGUGCGUGAAACCGCUCAGAGGUAAACGGGUGGAGUUGAACUGCAAUCUCUGUGAAUUCAGCUGGUGAGCGUGGUUUGGGCUUGGUCAAAUCGAUUGAGUUCCGGGGUCUGUAUUUAUAUAGGUCUCUGUCUUCGGGCAGGGAUGCACGUUGCGCUUAUCAAGCGCGGUGUGCCUCGGAGUAUCGGAUCAGCUUGCCAGUGCACUUUCGCAGAGUGUUCACCACGACCGGCAUGGCUGUCUGGCUGUUGUGGUUAAACCGGCUCUGUAUCGUCCUUGUGGCUUUGCUUGGUCGGGAUGGCAGGUAGCUCGUUGAUGGCUGUAGCUUGCUGCAGUUGUUUUCGGGUGUAAUCAGCUGACUGCAAUGGUUCUGUGCAGCUUGUCGGAGACGGCGGCUAGUUGUGCGUGCGUGCGUGCCGGUCCUAUGGGCAGGUUCGGGUCUGAUUGCCAUGUUGCUUGCGUAAAGCAGGCCUGGUAGUGGCUCGGGUUUGUUCUGUGGGUGGUUGCGUGCGUUGCAUUUUACAGGGCCAAUAGUCUGUGGUGUAGUGGUAGACGAUCCACCCGACCCGUCUUGAAACACGGACCAAGGAGAGUAACAUGUACGCGAGUCAUUGGGCGAAACGAAACCCAAAGGCGCAGUGAAAGUGAAGGCUUGGCUUGUCCUUGCUGAGGUGAGAUCCUGCCGUUUCUCAUGCGCGGUACUACUGAGCAUCGAGCGGUGGGCGCAUCACCGGCCCGUCCCAUGACGUAGAUACAUAGUCUUCGGACCAGUGCACCGUCGGGGCGGAGCAUGAGCGUACAUGUUGAGACCCGAAAGAUGGUGAACUAUGCUUGCGCAGGUUGAAGCCAGAGGAAACUCUGGUGGAGGACCGCAGCGAUUCUGACGUGCAAAUCGAUCGUCAAACGUGAGUAUAGGGGCGAAAGACUAAUCGAACCAUCUAGUAGCUGGUUCCCUCCGAAGUUUCC
Molecule: ribosomal RNA, 1428 nt
Filed under: Intromugil mugilicolus
Lineage: Eukaryota; Metazoa; Platyhelminthes; Trematoda; Plagiorchiida; Haploporidae
Description: eukaryotic LSU rRNA
Rfam family: Eukaryotic large subunit ribosomal RNA
Source: RNAcentral